AUCAAAUUACUCCGAUUUCUAGUUUCCUCGCUGUCUCUCUGCUUCGUCCCGAAAGUCAGUCUGCCUACAAAAACGUGCAUUUGUAUCAAUGCAGAAAUGAAGAGGAUUGUAAAUGAUGGAGACGCUUGACGUGACAUUGAGCUGAGAGAGUGCGCACAGGCAGGGAGGGAGAGACCUGGGAUGCGCGAGCGUCUGUCAGCCAAUCAUCCGCUAAUCAGAGAGCUCAAAUUAAAAGAGUGCGUGUUUGGAGUCGAGGACGGGAUGAUGGCGCAGAGCCGGAGUGAUUGUGAACUUCACCAGUGCUCACAGUAAUGUAUGUUUACUGGAAAAGGAGAGAGAAAUCUGAUGUUUUACAUGCCAGAAAAACAAACCGAGAAAACGUGAAGAAAGAGACUGGUCAAGCGCAGCUCUUCCU
Molecule: long non-coding RNA, 415 nt
Organism: Sinocyclocheilus rhinocerous
Lineage: Eukaryota; Metazoa; Chordata; Actinopteri; Cypriniformes; Cyprinidae
Exons: 3
Source: RefSeq, a predicted model, not a curated record